AUUAGCCGAUCAAGCUGCAAAAUCAGCAAGCAGUAUGCCACUUAUCCUCACCCCAAACAUAAAUACCACAGAUAUAAAAAAACACCUUAAAGCCGACCUUGCGACAAAACAGAAAGAACACAUAAUAAACUGCAGUCCAUGGUACCAAUCUAUUAACACGAACACCUCACACCCAUGCGAUUACCUUAAACAAUCCCACCCAAAUUGGACCAGACUCGACCAAAUAAAAAUAAUACGACUUCGACUAGGACACACAAACAUAACCCACCAACACUACCUAAAUCCCAAUUCAAUACCAACUUGCCCGUUUUGCCAAGGUGACAUUUCUUUAAACCACAUAUUUAACUCAUGCCCAUCCCUCCUACAAACCAAGCAAGAUAUAUUUAACAACACCAACCCUCUAGACCUUCUUAGCAAACCCAAUCCAGAUAACAUACAAAAACUCAUACUUUUCCUCAAAAAAACUAAAUUAUACCACAAAAUCUAAAAACAAAACAGGCAUUUGUACAUAACAAGCCAGCAAUUAGUUACCAAAUUAGAUAUUAACUAAAUUAAGAUAUAAUAACAUUGUAAAUAAAUAUAGCUGUAAGCCCCGUAGCUAAUGCUAUACUAUCUAAGUUAGUCUAGUUUUGUAAACUAUUCUAUCUAUCAUAAUAAAUAAAUAAAAAUAUUAUUUAUGCCUCUAACUGGAACGUACCUUGAGCAUAUAUGCUGUGACCCGAAAGAUGGUGAACUAUACUUGAUCAGGUUGAAGUCAGGGGAAACCCUGAUGGAAGACCGAAACAGUUCUGACGUGCAAAUCGAUUGUCAGAAUUGAGUAUAGGGGCGAAAGACCAAUCGAACCAUCUAGUAGCUGGUUCCUUCCGAAGUUUCCCUCAGGAUAGCUGGUGCAUUUUAAUAUUAUAUAAAAUAAUCUUAUCUGGUAAAGCGAAUGAUUAGAGGCCUUAGGGUCGAAACGAUCUUAACCUAUUCUCAAACUUUAAAUGGGUAAGAACCUUAACUUUCUUGAUAUGAAGUUCAAGGUUAUGAUAUAAUGUGCCCAGUGGGCCACUUUUGGUAAGCAGAACUGGCGCUGUGGGAUGAACCAAACGUAAUGUUACGGUGCCCAAAUUAACAACUCAUGCAGAUACCAUGAAAGGCGUUGGUUGCUUAAAACAGCAGGACGGUGAUCAUGGAAGUCGAAAUCCGCUAAGGAGUGUGUAACAACUCACCUGCCGAAGCAACUAGCCCUUAAAAUGGAUGGCGCUUAAGUUGUAUACCUAUACAUUACCGCUAAAGUAGAUGAUUUAUAUUACUUGUGAUAUAAAUUUUGAAACUUUAGUGAGUAGGAAGGUACAAUGGUAUGCGUAGAAGUGUUUGGCGUAAGCCUGCAUGGAGCUGCCAUUGGUACAGAUCUUGGUGGUAGUAGCAAAUAAUCGAAUGAGACCUUGGAGGACUGAAGUGGAGAAGGGUUUCGUGUGAACAGUGGUUGAUCACGAGUUAGUCGGUCCUAAGUUCAAGGCGAAAGCCGAAAAUUUUCAAGUAAAACAAAAAUGCCUAACUAUAUAAACAAAGCGAAUUAUAAUACACUUGAAUAAUUUUGAACGAAAGGGAAUACGGUUCCAAUUCCGUAACCUGUUGAGUAUCCGUUUGUUAUUAAAUAUGGGCCUCGUGCUCAUCCUGGCAACAGGAACGACCAUAAAGAAGUCGUCGAGAGAUAUCGGAAGAGUUUUCUUUUCUGUUUUAUAGCCGUACUACCAUGGAAGUCUUUCGCAGAGAGAUAUGGUAGAUGGGCUAGAAGAGCAUGACAUAUACUGUUGUGUCGAUAUUUUCUCCUCGGACCUUGAAAAUUUAUGGUGGGGACACGCAAACUUCUCAACAGGCCGUACCAAUAUCCGCAGCUGGUCUCCAAGGUGAAGAGUCUCUAGUCGAUAGAAUAAUGUAGGUAAGGGAAGUCGGCAAAUUAGAUCCGUAACUUCGGGAUAAGGAUUGGCUCUGAAGAUUGAGAUAGUCGGGCUUGAUUGGGAAACAAUAACAUGGUUUAUGUGCUCGUUCUGGGUAAAUAGAGUUUCUAGCAUUUAUGUUAGUUACUUGUUCCCCGGAUAGUUUAGUUACGUAGCCAAUUGUGGAACUUUCUUGCUAAAAUUUUUAAGAAUACUAUUUGGGUUAAACCAAUUAGUUCUUAUUAAUUAUAACGAUUAUCAAUUAACAAUCAAUUCAGAACUGGCACGGACUUGGGGAAUCCGACUGUCUAAUUAAAACAAAGCAUUGUGAUGGCCCUAGCGGGUGUUGACACAAUGUGAUUUCUGCCCAGUGCUCUGAAUGUCAAAGUGAAGAAAUUCAAGUAAGCGCGGGUCAACGGCGGGAGUAACUAUGACUCUCUUAAGGUAGCCAAAUGCCUCGUCAUCUAAUUAGUGACGCGCAUGAAUGGAUUAACGAGAUUCCUACUGUCCCUAUCUACUAUCUAGCGAAACCACAGCCAAGGGAACGGGCUUGGAAUAAUUAGCGGGGAAAGAAGACCCUUUUGAGCUUGACUCUAAUCUGGCAGUGUAAGGAGACAUAAGAGGUGUAGAAUAAGUGGGAGAUAUUAGACCUCGGUUUGGUAUCGUCAAUGAAAUACCACUACUCUUAUUGUUUCCUUACUUACUUGAUUAAAUGGAACGUGUAUCAUUUCCUAGCCAUUAUACGGAUAUAUUUAUUAUAUCUUAUGGUAUUGGGUUUUGAUGCAAGCUUCUUGAUCAAAGUAUCACGAGUUUGUUAUAUAAUCGCAAACAAAUUCUUUAAUAAAACGAUGCAUUUAUGUAUUUUUGAUUUGAAAAUUUGGUAUAACUCCAAUUACUCAGGUAUGAUCCAAUUCAAGGACAUUGCCAGGUAGGGAGUUUGACUGGGGCGGUACAUCUCUCAAAUAAUAACGGAGGUGUCCCAAGGCCAGCUCAGUGCGGACAGAAACCACACAUAGAGCAAAAGGGCAAAUGCUGACUUGAUCUCGGUGUUCAGUACACACAGGGACAGCAAAAGCUCGGCCUAUCGAUCCUUUUGGUUUAAAGAGUUUUUAACAAGAGGUGUCAGAAAAGUUACCAUAGGGAUAACUGGCUUGUGGCGGCCAAGCGUUCAUAGCGACGUCGCUUUUUGAUCCUUCGAUGUCGGCUCUUCCUAUCAUUGUGAAGCAAAAUUCACCAAGCGUUGGAUUGUUCACCCAUGCAAGGGAACGUGAGCUGGGUUUAGACCGUCGUGAGACAGGUUAGUUUUACCCUACUAAUGACAAAACGUUGUUGCGACAGCAUUCCUGCGUAGUACGAGAGGAACCGCAGGUACGGACCAAUGGCACAAUACUUGUUCGAGCGAACAGUGGUAUGACGCUACGUCCGUUGGAUUAUGCCUGAACGCCUCUAAGGUCGUAUCCGUGCUGGACUGCAAUGAUAAAUAAGGGGCAAUUUGCAUUGUAUGGCUUCUAAACCAUUUAAAGUUUAUAAUUUACUUUAUAAACGACAAUGGAUGUGAUGCCAAUGUAAUUUGUAACAUAGUAAAUUGGGAGGAUCUUCGAUCACCUGAUGCCGCGCUAGUUACAUAUAAAAGCAUUAUUU
This 3563-nucleotide ribosomal RNA is filed under the name Drosophila melanogaster (fruit fly). RNAcentral describes it as "eukaryotic LSU rRNA". The stretch from base 450 to 3563 matches the Rfam family "Eukaryotic large subunit ribosomal RNA". The record is from RNAcentral. Lineage: Eukaryota; Metazoa; Arthropoda; Insecta; Diptera; Drosophilidae.